RNAcentral lists this transfer RNA (71 nucleotides) under Kaloula kalingensis (Kalinga narrowmoouth toad). RNAcentral describes it as "tRNA-Val". It matches the Rfam family "tRNA". From Rfam's summary of the family: Transfer RNA (tRNA) molecules are approximately 80 nucleotides in length. Their secondary structure includes four short double-helical elements and three loops (D, anti-codon, and T loops). Lineage: Eukaryota; Metazoa; Chordata; Amphibia; Anura; Microhylidae. The record is from RNAcentral.
ACAAAAUGUAGCUUAACACAAAGCACCUCGCUUACACCGAAGAUACGUCUAUUUGACCUAGACCGUUUUGA